CCCCAAAGGUGAUGGUAGUCGUAGGUGAGGCCUGUCGGAGGUGAUUAGGUCAUGAGGGUGGAACCCUCAUGAGUGAGAUUAGUGCUUUAUGAAAGAGAGCCCACAGAGCUCCCCAGCCCCUUCUGCCAUGUGAGAGGACAACCAGAAGUCAGCUACUCAGAAGGGGGCCCUCACUCAACCGUGCCGGCAGCCUGAUCUCAGACUUCCAGCCUCCAGGACUGGCUGUAAUAGCUAAAACAAGACCUGGGAGUUGCCGAUGAUUAGGAAGAGUAGACCUAAGACAGUCCCUGACAGGAGUAAUCCACAAAAGUAGACUCUGCAAUGGAAUAUUGGUGCUGCCUCCUGUGUUGCCGGCUGGCACAGAGGACCCAUUGCUGCUCACAGGUAGAGUAUGGGGAGCCCCUGGCUUACCAUAGUCUUGUAAUUGUGGUAUUCAUUGUGUGUGUGUGUGAAAUUCAUUGGGGUGAAUUGUGAUGGAUUUUGGUGAAGGAAAUGCACUGCUGGGUCCAGUAUCUCAAGAGUUUCAGGGAUUCAGGGAGAAAUGGUAAUUAUAAGGGCUAUGGAGCGGGAUGCCUGUUGCUGGUGGUCAUUGAUACAUUGGAGAAAGAGAAAGAAGAGCUGAGGGUGAUUAAUCACCAAUUAAAGGCAAAGUGUGACAGUCAGAAGGUGUGCUUGAAAGCAUAUAAAGCAAUUCUUACCUUCUGGUACUUUAAGGCAGAAAAAGCUAAGGCUCAGGCUCAGGGCUUAAUUAGGAGAGUAGCAAAGCUUCAGAGAAGGAAUGUGGAAAUCCCAACCCCAAGUCUGUGUAUCAAUGUCUGAGCCGAGUGCAGACUUAAGUUUAAUGCAUGAGGUUCAUUAACUCUCUGAACCCUCUGAGCCUGUAAAAGUGACCCACUCCUCCCUCUAGGAGGCUAGUGCUCUGCCACUUUUUUGAAGAUGGUACAGAGGCUUCUGCCCAGGAGAUAGCAAGCACCUCCGCUUAGGAUGUAACCCCACCUGCUACUGGAAACCAGAUCAACUGCUAGAGUUGAGUCACAACAUAACCUGGACGGGAAAGUGCUGGGCCUGCUGAGGGAAGAAAGAGACCGCACCUGGAAGAAGCUGUGGCACUUACACAGCGUGUCCCCGCAGGAGUUGGGAGACCAUGGAUUGGACUAGAUUCCGAAGGUGCUGGCUCUGGGGAGUGGAAUGUAAAGUUGGGUAGGAGAUAGUUUUUCAAUAUGGGAACACUUUCCUGUGACACAGGAGUUAACACCCUUUCAAGGACCUGGGACAGGGUGCCAACACUCUAUGAAGAUAGCUCUUAGAAGCUUGGAGAAAGAAACAGCCCACACUAAGUGAAGUAAAAUGUGAGAAUUACUGAGAAAAAUGGCGGAAAAAAAUGAGACAAAGGCUUGAAGUGGGCAUGCUAAAUAGAUAUAUUAUGUGAGAAUAGAAAACACUGGCUUGAUUGAAUUUGUAAGGAAAAACAGAACAAAACCUCUGCUGUAUUCUAUGAAUUCCAAGGUGGACGUCAUUUGCAACCAGUAACUGUAUCCAUCGCGUUCUGAGCCAUCCUUAUUGGUGUGUGGUUAAUGGAUUUUUGUUGUCAUUGCUGGUUUGUUUGUUUUUAACUGUAUGUGAAUCCCGAGAAAGAGUUAAACACAGGCUGUGUGUUCCGCCACAGUUCCCAUUGUGUAUGGCCCCUCUUUGCUCUAGGAAGGGGCUUUCUCACUCCUCUGCAAGGUAUACAAGUCUCCUCUGUUCUGGAUGGGUUGGGUAAGGGGCUAUGCAGAGUUCUGGGGCUCAAGCCUUGGUGGAUGGUUGAUGGAUAGGCAGUGGGCUGAAUUCUGGUGAUUGGUGGCCUUACAGGGUAUCAAUUCUGCACUGACUCAGGCCCAUACCUCUCUCUGGUUUUCCUCACCCACCCUCCUGUCCACAUGGCAGGCUCUAGUUCUCUCUCCUCUCACCCACUGCAUCAUUUUUCUAAUCCUGGGGAGCAGUAUCCCCUUCUGCAAGCCUGCACUUGAAUCUCUCAGCCUGCCGAAAGGCCAGAUUGUUGUUGAAGAGUUGAGCAUCCUAGCUUUCUUUUUAAGGCUCUGUAUGGGUGACUUGUGUCUGCCCUGAGCACUUGGGGAAAAGAGGAAGCCCUUGGGGUACAAGUCAACAAAUCCAGUAUUUGAGAGGAAAGAUGUAUCCCAUCACGAACCUCUAUAUUGUUUUGUGUGUGAGGUGGCAGAAAAUAGUUUAAGAACUGCUGAAAUACACAACAUUGUCUGACUAGUCCAAUCAGAGAACAUUUUAGUGAAACCUAGAAGCUGAUCUGCUUUUAAAAUUUGUGGGCUUUUGCCAGUUCCACCGGACAAGUUAUGUGCAUUUCCACUCAUUUAUUGAGCAAGCUGAAGAGUUCCUGAGGACUUGGAAAUUUAUCUUAUGAUCCUAAUUUCUUCCCAUAUUUCCCAAGCCUGACUCAUUAAAUCACCCAACCAAACUUGAACAAGCAUCCAUGACGUUUUCCCCUUACACAAUCUGCU
This 2513-nucleotide long non-coding RNA is filed under the name Equus caballus (horse). Its description in RNAcentral is "lncRNA (ENSECAG00000055017.1)". The record is from RNAcentral. Lineage: Eukaryota; Metazoa; Chordata; Mammalia; Perissodactyla; Equidae.